This 253-nucleotide ribosomal RNA is filed under the name uncultured bacterium. Its description in RNAcentral is "partial 16S ribosomal RNA". It matches the Rfam family "Bacterial small subunit ribosomal RNA", at positions 524 to 776 of the family's 1533-position model. The record is from RNAcentral.
UACGUAGGGCGCGAGCGUUAAUCGGAAUCACUGGGCGUAAAGCGCACGUAGGCGGAUUUGUAAGUCAGGGGUGAAAUCCCGGGGCUCAACCUCGGAACUGCCUUUGAUACUGCGAAUCUCGAGUCCGAUAGAGGUGGGUGGAAUUCCUAGUGUAGAGGUGAAAUUCGUAGAUAUUAGGAAGAACACCGGUGGCGAAGGCGGCCCACUGGAUCGGUACUGACGCUGAGGUGCGAAAGCGUGGGGAGCAAACAGG